Molecule: ribosomal RNA, 515 nt
Filed under: uncultured bacterium
Lineage: Bacteria
Description: partial 16S ribosomal RNA
Rfam family: Bacterial small subunit ribosomal RNA
Source: RNAcentral
GAUGAACGCUGGCGGCGUGCCUAAUACAUGCAAGUCGAGCGAAUGGAUUAAGAGCUUGCUCUUAUGAAGUUAGCGGCGGACGGGUGAGUAACACGUGGGUAACCUGCCCAUAAGACUGGGAUAACUCCGGGAAACCGGGGCUAAUACCGGAUAACAUUUUGAACCGCAUGGUUCGAAAUUGAAAGGCGGCUUCGGCUGUCACUUAUGGAUGGACCCGCGUCGCAUUAGCUAGUUGGUGAGGUAACGGCUCACCAAGGCAACGAUGCGUAGCCGACCGGAGGGGGUGAUCGGCAACACUGGGACUGAGAAACGGCCCAGACUCCUACGGGAGGCAGCAGUAGGGAAUCUUCCGCAAUGGACGAAAGUGUGACGGAGCAACGCCGCGUGAGUGAUGAAGGCUUUCGGGUCGUAAAACUCUGUUGUUAGGGAAGAACAAGUGCUAGUUGAAUAAGCUGGCACCUUGACGGUACCUAACCAGAAAGCCACGGCUAACUACGUGCCAGCCGCCGCAGUAA